GUGCCUGCACAACAGAAACACCCCAAUUAGAAGGGAAAGCAGAGCAACAGCAAGAGAUGCGUGAGGUGUCUCAAAGACAAGGUGAGAGCCAGCACGUUCAGCAUGCAUAUGAAGAAGUCCACUUGCCACCACCAAGAAAGGUGGGGUGGAGUGACCCAGUUCUAUCCUUCACCCAAUUCUGCCAUGCAGCAUCAAAGGAACUCUGCCUAGACCUCAGCUACAACCAGAAAGAGGGAAAUGCCAAACAUGUAGCUCUCCCUCUUUCCUUCCCCUGGGUCAUGAGAAGAGACAGCAAGACAUGUCAGCUGGACAUCACAGAUGGGACUUGCCUUUAUGAAGGCCUCAUCAGUGACAUGUGAACCAAAUGAGCACAAACCUCACAAGUUCAACUUGCCUGGGAAAAAUCCUGGUGAAAAUUUGUGCAGAGAAACAGUCAAGACUUUUGAGGUGAAACUAAAGGCAUCCUCGACUCCUAUUAAGAAAUGAAAAAAAAAAUUUCAAGCAUCACUUAUAUAAAUGACAGAGUCUGAACACACAGAGUUGCCUGAUACACACAGGGCAGCAAGCAGAGAAGGAGAACCAUAAGCAAAGCAGAAAUGCAGAUGUGGCUCAAUAAAUAUAUCCUCAAUCUACAGAGACUGAAGUUCAACUGCAGCAAAGAUCACAACUGCUAUGAAUCUGGCAGGUCUUAUGCUAAUUCAGAAUAGCAGCACUUGCCUGUGCUGCUAGGCCUGCGAAGCUGGGAGAGGGAUCCGAGCAGGGCUCACUUGGCCAGAGUUUGGCUCUGAUCAGAACCAAUGCUACUGGGCUCUCUCACAUUUUCUGAAUGCUGCUGUGGUUCAAAUGCCUUUUCCUUAAAGACAGUAUUAAGACAGUGGGCAUGGAGAGGGAAAAAAGAAGUAAUAGGAAACUUAACAGAAAGCAAAUGCAGGGAGGAAACGGAACAAAAUGAAACACAUCAUAAAAUUUAGAAGAGCAGGAAAUGUUAAGUGGUGUAGAAAUAAUGUCCCUGAAGGAGGAAGCAGUUUUAGCAAGGCCAGCUCUGCCUCUAGACUUACAGCAUAAAGCCUUCUUUUAAAAGCACCCUUUACUACUGGCUGCUUCCCUGUUGCAAUGGACCCUUAAACAAUUAAACCCUGUCAGCAACUGCUCUGGCAGGAUGGGAGACUGGGACACGUUAUCUGAUGCUUUAGGUACAAGACUUCUGCCUAGACCCACAAGAGAGGUCUGAGGAGCAGCAUAGGACAAGUCUGUAAAGCAGGACAAGGCAUAAAUGGAUUGAGGGAACUCAACCGCACUCAAAGGAGCUGAAGCCAUGGCUGUUGCAGCAAGUAAACCCCUGCUGUGCAGACAGGCCUCACCUUCUCCCAUUCCCCCCUGAGUCUGUGCAGCUGUACUGUUUGCAGGCUUUGCUGGGCCUUACCAUCCCCAUGAUGUAAAUCCAAAUCGAUAUAAAGGACACGGUCAAAUUUCUGGCGCAGUCGCAGGAUCCCCAAGACAGCGUCAUUCACAUAACAGAAACCAGAAGCUUCAUCCCUGUGAAAACAAUGUCUGUGACACUGAAUAUUGCCAAUGCAAUCACCACCGAUUUCAGCAUUCUCACUUUGACUUUGCAAGUGUCCACCUCACAGGGGCAUGGAGGAGUACGAAAACUCAGCCCAGCAGUGACCAAGAGACAGGUCAGGAACAGCUCAAAGCAUGGCUGGGAAGCACAGAGAACAGGACUGCUUGUGCCAAGUGCUUCUCAACUCUGGGCUUUAUGGCAGCUGGGAAAGUACAAAUGGAAUGUCCCACAUGGAGUCCCUCACGAUACAGCACCUGGGCUCAGCCAGGAGAGAGUCCCAGCAGCUAAAGAGAGGACAGGCAUACUAUGUAAAGAUUAAUCACUGACAUUCAUCAGGGACAGCUUACUUGCUGGCAUCAAAGGAACAAGAAAGUUUCUUAACCCCUACUCCAGCCUCAUUCCAAAGUCAAGUCCCCAUCAUGACUUAGCACCAGUCCACACGCAUUCUUAAAUCUGGCCUAGAUAGCUAUUUUAAAGCGAGGCUUCAUACAUGGCAACAGGAGUACCCAAAUCCCUUUUCCACAAAUUAUAGUGGGAUACAAGUUGCACCUCUGGGAAAUUCCUCUUGACUUCCAGUCACAGCACCCAGCUCAUUCUCUCUGACAUUUCCUGCUCAGCAAUAGCUGGGAACAGUGAGGAGCAUGCCAGGAGUGGCAGAACUACACUCACUUUCACUCUCUGCAAGUGCCAUGGAGCACAGGUGUUUCCCAGUGACUCUGUUCAUUUACAGUAAUGCAGAAAAUGGAGAUGUUAACAGGUAUCCUGAAAAUCUGACUCAACUGUGAUUAUGUAUUUCUCCCCUCCCUCACAGCCCACAAGGAAGCAUGUCCUGGGCACUCUCUGAAUGCUGUAAUACAAAUCUCUGAAACUCCAGGCCAAGUAGAGCAGGACACCAGUUCAGUCAAAAGCAGAGCAGUGUCGGAGCUGCACUUCAGGACCAGCACCUGGGAUUCCCCCGUGCUGCCCCAAAUCCACCCAGCAAAGCUCUGAGUAUCACUGUCAGAAAGGAGGGUGAGACUGCCUUGAGAAAAGGCUCUUACUCAGCAACUUACCUGCAACCCCAAAGGCAUCCUCUGAACCAAGAGCUUCCAAAGCCCCAGGUCAUUCCUACCUUUAGGACCCUGGAAAGCAACUAAACCACCAGGUAGCAGGUGUUUUUUGACAAAAGGAAUGUAUUUUGCUAGGACACAGGUCCUAGAAUCAAGUACCUGCAGUUU
This is a long non-coding RNA of Passer domesticus (house sparrow), 2781 nucleotides long. RefSeq lists it as uncharacterized. NCBI's taxonomy places the organism in Eukaryota, Metazoa, Chordata, Aves, Passeriformes, Passeridae. The record is from RefSeq and is a predicted model, not a curated record. The transcript has 2 exons.